UACAGAGGUGGCAAGCGUUGUUCGGAAUUACUGGGCGUAAAGGGCGCGUAGGCGGCCUUCUAAGUCAGACGUGAAAUCCCCCGGCUUAACCUGGGAACUGCGUCUGAUACUGGGAGGCUUGAGUAUGGGAGAGGGAUGUAGAAUUCCAGGUGUAGCGGUGAAAUGCGUAGAUAUCUGGAGGAAUACCGGUGGCGAAGGCGGCAUCCUGGACCGGCAUUGACGCUGAGGAGCGAAAGCCAGGGGAGCAAACGGG
Molecule: ribosomal RNA, 253 nt
Filed under: uncultured bacterium
Lineage: Bacteria
Description: partial 16S ribosomal RNA
Rfam family: Bacterial small subunit ribosomal RNA
Source: RNAcentral